GACAUAGAAAGCGGGUUUCGGGUAUCCAUUCGUGUUUCGGGUAUCCACGGGUUUGGUUUUGGGGAGGGGUUAUCACCCGAAUCGGUGUUCGGUUCGGUUUCGGGUUCGGGUGCACAUAGACUUCACCCGAUCCGAACCCGCCCUGUUGCCAUUCUUAAAAGCAAGUCAUUCAGGCUUCCAACCAAAUAUAUAGCCCCUAGGAGCUAGAAGCUGUUCUUUCAGGUCCGUCCCUACUUCAGGUCGAGUCCAGUUUUCGACAUGAUUUUGUGCUACCAAAAGAAAACAGUACUGCUAGUGCCCGAACGUUCGGCGCCAGUAGUGCGUUCGGACGCCGAGCUCCUGACCCGCACCAUACGGAGAAAAAAACCAUCGCCUCCAACCAACUUGCCCCGCGCGGGGGACUGCCUUUCGUUCGCUCCCCGCGCAAGGAGCCCGUCUCCACCCUGCCUCACCCCUCACCUCGUCGCCCCUAGCACAUCCGCCCGCUUACAACUCGUCCUCACAGAACCGACCCUCGUCCCGCGCUCGCACAGAGAAGAAAGACGACCCCCACGUGCAUAGAUCUGCCGUCCACAACCUCGUCAAUCUAGCACCUCUGACCCUACCACUAGCUCAUCACCAUAGUCUGCCCUCUAGCUGCAACAAUGAAAAAAGACUAUUGCAAACGUCGAAGGAUAUCUAAAAUACAAAAAAAAGAAAAAAACUGCUAAAACAAACGGAAAAAAGCUAUUGAAAUAUUAAAAAAAACAUCUAAUGCAACGAACAAAAAUAUGAAGUGCAACGUCAAAAAAAAGUCUACUGCAACAUUCAGAAACAUCUAGUGCAAUAUUAGGGGAAAAUCUGCUACAACAUUGAGAAAAAGCUAUUACAACAUCUCAAGCACUACUAAUGCAACAUCAGAAGAAAAAACGGUUGUUGCAACAACAAAAUCUACUGCAAUAUCGGGAGAGAAUCUGCUACAACAAUGAGAAAAAACUAUUACAACAUCUCAAGCACCACUAAUGUAACAUCAGAAAAAACGCCCGUUGCAACAAAAAAAUCUACUACAACAUCGGGGGAGAAUCUGCUGCAACAACGUCAAAAGCAAAAUGAAACUUCUAAAGAACUACUUUGCAACAUCAAAGAAAUGCUUGUUGCAACAACAAAAAAAGGUACCAUUAUAACAUUCAACAUCAUCUAUUGCAAUAUUGAAAAUGAAUCAUUGCAAAAACAACGACGAGAUCUGACUCGCCGGAACACUAGCUACCACCAAACCCUUAGAUCCAAAAGGGGAAGAAGAGGAGGAGGAGGAGGAGAUGCAGGAUGAGGGAGUAGAUCUAGAUCCAAUGGAAAAAGGAAGGGGAGAAAGACCUAAGAUCUAGAUCUCUCUCUACCUACCUCGUCUGAGCCACACAUGGAUGUUACAGCGCACGAAGAUGAGAGAGCGAUGAGGGAGGGGAGGUGCGCGGGUUCACUGAAAGCCGCCCGCCAUGGCCCCCACUCCGAUGGCCAUGGAUGUCUCGGGGAAGAAGGGGGAGAGAGGCCUCAGAUCUAGAUCCCUCUCCACCUACCUUGUCGGAACCACGUCGUCGUCCUCAUCUCGAGAUACAUGGAGGUUACAACGCGCGAGGAUGAGAGAGUAGGGAGAGAGGGGAGGUGUGCGGGCUCAUUGGAAGCUGCUCGCCAUCACCCCCACUCCGGUGGCCAUGGACGUCGUGGGACAAGGAGGUAGGAAGCGAGGGACAGCUCGCUGGAGAUGCGGCAGGAGGCGCGGUCGUGUGGGCGUGGGCAGCAGGAGCGACGGAGCCAGCAAGUGCGAGAAAAGAGUAGACGCGGGGGUCACAGGAUAAGGAGCCAAGGGUGUGGCGCUUGUGGCUCGAUCGAGUCGUGCGGGUAAUAUAGAUCAAUGAGGAGUCAAUCUGCCUGGGUGGACGGCUGCAUCAUAUGUCUUGCCGCCGGGAUCCAUU
This 1946-nucleotide long non-coding RNA is filed under the name Sorghum bicolor (sorghum). RNAcentral's name for it is "long non-coding RNA (SBIC_LNC005365)". The record is from RNAcentral. Lineage: Eukaryota; Viridiplantae; Streptophyta; Magnoliopsida; Poales; Poaceae.